Molecule: ribosomal RNA, 532 nt
Filed under: Odorrana chapaensis (Chapa torrent frog)
Lineage: Eukaryota; Metazoa; Chordata; Amphibia; Anura; Ranidae
Description: partial large subunit ribosomal RNA
Rfam family: Bacterial large subunit ribosomal RNA
Source: RNAcentral
CAUCGCCUCUUGACUUAAAUAUAAGAGGUCCAGCCUGCCCAGUGACAAAAUUCAACGGCCGCGGUAUACUAACCGUGCGAAGGUAGCAUAAUCACUUGUUCUUUAAAUAGGGACUAGUAUCAACGGCAUCACGAGGGCUAUACUGUCUCCUCCCUCCAAUCAGUGAAACUGAUCCCCCCGUGAAGAAGCGGGGAUUUGACUAUAAGACGAGAAGACCCCAUGGAGCUUUAAACCCAAUAUAUACCCCCUCCCCAAGCAUCAACUUAAUCUAGCGGGCCUGUAUACUGGUUUUAGGCUGGGGGGGCCACGGAGUAAAAUUAAACCUCCACAACAAAUGGGCUAAUACCCUUACCCACGAUUUUAUAAAUCUAAGAAUCAUCAAAAUGAUGUCAAAUGACCCGAUAAUUCGAUCAAUGAACCAAGUUACCCUGGGGAUAACAGCGCAAUCUACUUCAAGAGCUCUUAUCGACAAGUAGGUUUACGACCUCGAUGUUGGAUCAGGGUAUCCAAGUGGUGCAACCGCUGCUAAUGG